UUAAAUUGAAGAGUUUGAUCAUGGCUCAGAUUGAACGCUGGCGGCAGGCCUAACACAUGCAAGUCGAACGGUAACAGGAAGCAGCUUGCUCUUCGCUGACGAGUGGCGGACGGGUGAGUAAUGUCUGGGAAGCUGCCUGAUGGAGGGGGAUAACUACUGGAAACGGUAGCUAAUACCGCAUAAUGUCGCAAGACCAAAGAGGGGGACCUUCGGGCCUCUUGCCAUCGGAUGUGCCCAGAUGGGAUUAGCUUGUUGGUGGGGUAACGGCUCACCUAGGCGACGAUCCCUAGCUGGUCUGAGAGGAUGACCAGCCACACUGGAACUGAGACACGGUCCAGACUCCUACGGGAGGCAGCAGUGGGGAAUAUUGCACAAUGGGCGCAAGCCUGAUGCAGCCAUGCCGCGUGUAUGAAGAAGGCCUUCGGGUUGUAAAGUACUUUCAGCGGGGAGGAAGGGAGUAAAGUUAAUACCUUUGCUCAUUGACGUUACCCGCAGAAGAAGCACCGGCUAACUCCGUGCCAGCAGCCGCGGUAAUACGGAGGGUGCAAGCGUUAAUCGGAAUUACUGGGCGUAAAGCGCACGCAGGCGGUUUGUUAAGUCAGAUGUGAAAUCCCCGGGCUCAACCUGGGAACUGCAUCUGAUACUGGCAAGCUUGAGUCUCGUAGAGGGGGGUAGAA
Molecule: ribosomal RNA, 677 nt
Filed under: Escherichia coli
Lineage: Bacteria; Pseudomonadati; Pseudomonadota; Gammaproteobacteria; Enterobacterales; Enterobacteriaceae
Description: bacterial SSU rRNA
Rfam family: Bacterial small subunit ribosomal RNA
Source: RNAcentral